Molecule: non-coding RNA, 1113 nt
Organism: Phoenix dactylifera (date palm)
Lineage: Eukaryota; Viridiplantae; Streptophyta; Magnoliopsida; Arecales; Arecaceae
Source: RefSeq, a predicted model, not a curated record
GAUGCAAAGGAAAUCAGCACACCCAUGGGCUCAAGUUGCAAGCUUGACAAAGAUGAAAAAGUGCAUCCGGGCCGUUCCGCUUCUUCCCGUUGAUCCCGCGUCGAUCCGCCGCCCGUGCCAACUCCCAGCAGCCAGCGAUGCAAAUCCUCCACGCGGUACAGCCGGCGACCAGCUCCUCCGCGAUCACCGUGCGUGCAGCCAGCACCCCAGCCCAAGCGCUCGUCCGCGUUCAUCACGGAUCCCGCAUCCAUCCGUGGGCCAAAGAAGAAGAUGGAUCUUCUUCCAUCCGUGAAGCAUUCCUCCCGGCGAUCCCGCAGGCCUUCAUCUCUCCCAUAUCCGCCGAUUCAAGAAGCCGUUUCAGCCGCCCGUGAUUCUCCCCACCUUCCGCAUGCGUUCCCCUCUUCCGGAUUCGAGAGCCUUUGCAUCGCGUCCCCUCCUAGCUCAGCCUCCUUCGCAUGAUCCGCUCGUCCGCGUCACUGCCAGCAGCCCAAGUUCCCAUCCGUACUCAUCUUCCACGGAUCAAGCCUCCACAUCCAAGCAAUCCCACAAAUCAAGCUCCCGAGUCCGCCUCCUUUGAAGCCAGUGAUGCAUCCCACGCUUCAAGCCUCCGCGUCUGCAAGCACCAUGAUCCAAGCACCCAGCGGCUCAUCCGAGAUUGGCUCCUCCUUUCGUUUCCAAAUCCCAGCCCCCAAGCAAUCGGAUCCCCAUCGAUCAAGCAUCUGUUACCCCUCCAUCAAAGGAUUCGUCGCUGUCCAUCAGGGGGUGGGCGACCUAUUUAAGGAGAGGAAGAGGGAAGGAGAAGGGGGGACUCGGUGGAGAAGAAAACAGGGGAGACCCCCUGUUUCGGUGAAAAAGGAGAAACCAGCCGAGAGAGAAGAAGAGAAAAAGAAAUAAAAAAAAAGAAAGAGAAAGGAGGGGGGACUUGAGGCGGAUGGCGUGGAGUAUCUUAGCAAGCCGAUCAAAGUCGCCAAGCAUCAUGAGCAGCUAAACCUCGGUUUAGGGGUUUGAUGAAGCCAUAGAGGAGUAUUCGUUUCAUUUUUGUUGAUUUGAGUUUGUAUUGUAAGAUAGGUUGCAUGAUGAAGAAUUUAUCAAUUGAUCUUAUGAUUUAUCCAA